UGACUUGGCUUGCACUUACUUGUGACUAGCUCACAGAGUGGGAUGAUGACACUGUGUGGGAGCUCUGAGUAUUCAUGUCAUCUGUAAAAUAAAGCAGUUGGACCGCAUGUCCUCAAAGGUUCCUCAGCGUUCUCUAGCUCUACAAGACAAGUUUUCUGAUCCUAAAUCAUUCUACUGUUGCUUGGCGAAAGCACUGUGACAGAAUCACAAGCCAGAGAAUAAUGAACAAAUGUGUGUUACUGCAAAUAGAACUGAUAGGAAAUGAAAAAUUGAAUGCCUAAAUAACAUCUCACUUCAAUGAGACCUCUGCAGAUAUUUUGUCAUUGAUAAAAUAGUCAUUGAGAAGCUGUCAGAAUCCCAAGAUGUAUAUGGAAGGCACUUCAAAGACCCUACAAAAAUCAAUAAGAAGGACAAAUAAAACAACCCAGUGUCUAUAGCAUGCCAUUGGAAGCCUUUGACUGAAUUGACCAGCUAUAAUUCAAUUCCAAUUUGUCAUUGGGACAUCAUCACUGCAGUAUUAUGCACUUGGUAAAUGUUUCUGGGAUUGAAUUGGAAACAAAAGAUGCUGUUGUAUGACCUGGGAUCUCAAGACCUCUUUGGAAUGCAGCUGGAAUAAUGAAAGACCUUUUCAUUCCAUGUGAAAGAUCUUCAACUGAAACUCUCAAAUCCCACUGUGCUACUACUGUAUCCCAACGAGGAACCCCCUGAGGGAACCCCUAGCUUCUGGAGCAGAACAGCAAGAAAUUCUCUUAUUAUGUGCACAACGAAAUCAACAUGUUUAAUUAUUCGACAGGCAAUCACAGCAGCUAUUGCCACAGCUUCUCUGGUCUAACUGCCUUCUUUUCAGUCAAGACAUGCUGACUGGUUCCCUUCUCCAAAUGCCAGAGAGAGUUGGAGUUUAUUGAAUUGUUGGUAACAGGAGAUUUAUGAUGUUUCCAUCUAGUUUCUGGAUUAACUAUUCAUUUAUUCAACAAGAUGAGAAUCCCACAAAAUUCGCAACAUUAAAUGGAUUAUAAAUGGUUCCAUCUUUUAUUUCUUUGUUCUGAUACACCCUGUAAGAGUAAAAAAUGAAGUAGAAUCAAGAUAAACUAAUCCACCCUCAUGGGCUACAGAUGACAGC
RNAcentral lists this long non-coding RNA (1120 nucleotides) under Monodelphis domestica (gray short-tailed opossum). RNAcentral's name for it is "lncRNA (ENSMODG00000049445.1)". Lineage: Eukaryota; Metazoa; Chordata; Mammalia; Didelphimorphia; Didelphidae. The record is from RNAcentral.